This 497-nucleotide ribosomal RNA is filed under the name uncultured bacterium. RNAcentral describes it as "partial 16S ribosomal RNA". It matches the Rfam family "Bacterial small subunit ribosomal RNA", at positions 28 to 507 of the family's 1533-position model. The record is from RNAcentral.
GACGAACGCUGGCGGCGUGCCUAAUACAUGCAAGUAGAACGCUGAAGCGAGGAGCUUGCUCUUCUUGGAUGAGUUGCGAACGGGUGAGUAACGCGUAGGUAACCUGCCUUGUAGCGGGGGAUAACUAUUGGAAACGAUAGCUAAUACCGCAUAACAAUGGAUGACACAUGUCAUUUAUUUGAAAGGGGCAAUUGCUCCACUACAAGAUGGACCUGCGUUGUAUUAGCUAGUAGGUGAGGUAAUGGCUCACCUAGGCGACGAUACAUAGCCGGCCUGAGAGGGUGAUCAGCCACGCAGGGACUGAGACACGGCCCAGACUCCUACGGGAGGCAGCAGUAGGGAAUCUUCGGCCAUGGGGGCAACACUUACCGAACAACGCCGCGUGAGUGAAGAAGGUUUUCGGAUCGUAAAGCUCUGUUGUAAGUCAAGAACGGGUGUGAGAGUGGAAAGUUCACACUGUGACGGUAGCUUACCAGAAAGGGACGGCUAACUACGUG